Molecule: non-coding RNA, 2025 nt
Organism: Kogia breviceps (pygmy sperm whale)
Lineage: Eukaryota; Metazoa; Chordata; Mammalia; Artiodactyla; Physeteridae
Source: RefSeq, a predicted model, not a curated record
GGGAUUUACAAUGUUGAAAUAACACUAACAGCAAUAAUGUCGAGAAUAUCAACACUGACAAUAACAGAAGUGAACACCCCAGCAUUCACCCCACAUGCGAGCCCUUCUUCUGUGUGCAAGCGUAUGAUGGAACAGUUGCUGGUUUCUUGCCCAUUUUAUUUUUUUCUCCAGCUGCACCGCGCGGCAUGUGGGAUCUUAGUUCCCUGACCAGGGUUCGAACCCGCACCCCCUGUAGUGGAAGUACAGAGUCUUAACCACUGGACCGCCAGGGAAGUCCCUUGCCCAUUUUAUAGAUGAGGAGAUCAAAGCUCAGAGCAGCUAAGUGAUUUGUCCAAAGUCACAGAGCUGGGGUUUGAACCUGGCAGGCAGAAACCACAGUGCCAAGAGAGGAGACAGAUACAGAUUAGCGACCUACACUCCCCCACCUCCUCUUGGCUCCCAUCUCCGAAAAAAGGGCAACGGUCCUACCACAGCCCACAAGGCCCCCCAGGAUCUGCCUGCCACCUCCUCCCACUCACCCCCUCACUCCAGCCACAGGGGCUCCUCGCUGCCCCUUAGAAAUUCCAGACACCCGCCCACCUCAAGGUCUCUGCGCUGGCUGCCUUGGGGGCUGGAACUCUCCUCCCCCACGGCUACCACUCCCACCUCCUUCAGGCCUCUGCUCAAAUGCCACCUUCCCAGCCAGGGAGCCCCCCAACAUCAGUGAGAGAAAUGAGGAACCUGCAAGGACAACGGGAAGGAGCAGCCGGUGCAGCGGGAGGAAAGCCAGGAGAGCGGCUGUCCCGGAGGCCAAGAGAUGCUGGCCUGGCAGCUGAGCCGGGGCCUGCGAACUUCCCACCGGACCUAGCAAUGGGGACGUCACUGUGGGUCUCAGCAAGAGUGGAUCCACGGCCUGCACGUGGGUUGGGGGGGGCAGAGGCUUGGUCAUAAAAGCCUGAAUGCAGUGAAUGGCGUGAGUUCAAGCGAGCAGGGGGAGAAGGGGAGGCUGAGCACAGGUAACCUGGCCCAGGGGCGGGCCGACCGACAGUCCCGAUCCACCCGAGACUGAGGGUUUCCUGGGAUGUGAGGCUUUCAGCUUGAAAACCAGGAAAGCCCUGGGCAAAGUGGGCCAGCCAGUGCCCCAGCCGGCAGCAUGGCUGGAAGGGGAGCAGAGGAGGCGGGUGGGAGGCAGAGCCGGUGGGGAGUGUGGGGUCCAGGGAGCAUUCUCCUUCUUGGGCUAGAGCUCACUGCGGGGUGGGCGUGUUCCGUGGUGACAGAAACAGUGAGGCAGGACCAAGUCUGCUGCUAUCAGAGACUGGGGAGAAUGGCAGGGGUGAUACUGCUGAGUAGGCCGGAGGGAAGGGGGUCGGUGCACCGGAGCGCGGGUGCCUGCGACGGGAGGAGGGACAGGUCGCCCACGAAAACAGAAAAGUGCUCGGUCAGCUGCCGGCAGACGUCUGGCCAGGGGCAGGAAGUUCUGCUUUGGCUGCUUCUAUUUUCCCACGAAAUGCAAAGCCCAGUCGUAAGCUGAGGUGGGGAGAGAGUGGUGGUGGUGGGCCGCUGGGAAGAGCUGUCCGGGCGAGGGGGAGGGAAGCAAGGCCCCAGGCCAGGAGGAGCUGAGAAGCGGGUGUGGGUCGCUCGCUGGGUCUUCUCCAGCCUGGAGCGUCCCCUCAGACACACAGGUGUCGGGGGGAGGAGCGCGCGACUUGUGCCGAAGGAGGAAGCAGAACAGAGGGCUGGGGCUGCUGGUCAGGCCCGAGAAGGUCGGGUCGGAGACUUGACCUCAUGGGGGCGAGCUGGGAAGCGAGGAGGAAGUGGUCGGAGGGUGGAAACGUUUGACACUCAUGGGCAGAGGAGGAGGCAGUCACUGGUGAACAGGCCGGUGGCUCCCAGCCUUAGCCGGCGAUCGGAAUCACCAAGGAUAAGUGUUCAAAAUCCCUGAGCCUAGACCACACCCGGACCAAUGACGUCAGAUCCUGUGAAGGCAGGAUUCACGUGUUAGUAUUUGUUCUUUUAAUUCCUCAGGGGUCCAAUGUGCUGAGAAUU